Cyprinus carpio carpio is the source of this 375-nucleotide long non-coding RNA. The record is from Ensembl. NCBI's taxonomy places the organism in Eukaryota, Metazoa, Chordata, Actinopteri, Cypriniformes, Cyprinidae.
ACAUUUUAAGGAAUACAUUUUCAUUAUCUGUGGAUUAUUUUCACUUGUCCUUUUCUUAAUUUAUUUCACUCAAGUCCAUGACAGGAGAGGUCGAUCAGGACAGAAAAGAUGGCAAAGGGUGGAGAAGUCUGGAGACCUGCGUGGCUGCAUCUGCCCGAUGUCAUCUGAGGAACUGGAAGGUGAUGCUGCUUGUGUUUGUAUGUUUUCUGGGUCUUGUUGAUGGACAUUUCCUUCAGGAGGAGAAUGCAGAACCCCGUCCUAGCAAACUGAGAGCCUCUUCAACCGCUCCAGAACCACAGAAAGAGUGGCAGAGCAGAGCACCAUGGGCACGACAUCAUGGUCAGUAUAUACCUGACACUGUAUAGCAAACCGGGG